ACGGCGACAACACACGAUGAUGGUUACGGGUUGUGACACUUCCCUUCCUAUCGAGGUUAUCGAGACCCAGCUUGAGAAAUAUUUCUCUGCAGAUGAUUCUUUUGUUUACAAAGGCGUAACCGCUUCUGGUGAUAUCAUAACCCCAGCCAGAGUUUAUGUCUUUGGACACGAAGGUGUAGAAAAGGCGCUGGAACUUAGUGGACGCUCUCUAGGAGGUUAGAAUUUUGUAGUUACUGUGGUUGAUCCACUUCCAAAAAUAAAACGCAGGAUUGGCUACAUUCGCCCAAAUAACUUUCCUAUCUCGACUAAGGAGCAGUUCGAAAAUCUGACUACGGCGGGAAAUCAGAAGAAGAAGAAGAACAACAAGAGCAAGAAGAAAGAGAAGAAAGAGAAGAAGAGGGGAAAUCAGAAGAAGAAGAGUGAGACGGAAAUCAGAAGAUGAAGGGAGUAGAAAUCUCUUUCUGACAUGCUUUUUUUUUUAUCAAAAUCUGGCUAUUCCUGUAAUGGAUCAAAAUCCAAUCUUAAACUUAGUGUUGAAGUCCAUUGGCUCUAUCAACCUCUGUAAUUCCUCUUUUCUACGAUGCUUCUCUCCUGAAUGAUAAAAACCCAUCAUCAGUCUCAAUCUAUCUAACACCUGCUUCUCUCUUUAAGCCAUUGUCUCCCAUAGCCUGGCUAGCAGCAGCAUC
Raphanus sativus (radish) is the source of this 686-nucleotide long non-coding RNA. RefSeq lists it as uncharacterized. The record is from RefSeq and is a predicted model, not a curated record. Lineage: Eukaryota; Viridiplantae; Streptophyta; Magnoliopsida; Brassicales; Brassicaceae. The transcript is spliced from 4 exons.